CAAUAGCGUAUAUUAAAGUUGUUGCAGUUAAAAAGCUCGUAGUUGGAUUUCUGAAUUGAAUGUCCGGUCCGCUUAUCUCAGAUGAGUGUGUACUUUAGAUAUUUGGUUCAUUUUUUGUGAGGACAUUUAUCUGUCAUUAAGUUGAUGGAUUUAUAGACUUGCAUCGUUUACUGUGAAAAAAUUAGAGUGUUUAAAGCAGGCGUUCGCCCAUUUGAAUACAUUAGCAUGGAAUAAUAAGAUAUGACUUUGGUGGUCUAUUUUGUUGGUUUGCACACCAGAGUAAUGAUUAAUAGGGACAGUUGGGGGUAUUCAUAUUUCAACGUCAGAGGUGAAAUUCUUAGAUCGUUGAAAGAUGACCUUAGGCGAAAGCAUUUACCAUGGAUGUUUNCAUUAA
RNAcentral lists this ribosomal RNA (394 nucleotides) under uncultured eukaryote. RNAcentral describes it as "partial 18S ribosomal RNA". It matches the Rfam family "Eukaryotic small subunit ribosomal RNA", at positions 592 to 976 of the family's 1831-position model. The record is from RNAcentral.